Molecule: ribosomal RNA, 494 nt
Filed under: uncultured bacterium
Lineage: Bacteria
Description: partial 16S ribosomal RNA
Rfam family: Bacterial small subunit ribosomal RNA
Source: RNAcentral
GACGAACGCUGGCGGCGCGCUUAACACAUGCAAGUCGAACGGAAAGGCCUGCUUUCCCUUGUGGAUUGCGGGUACUCGAGUGGCGAACGGGUGAGUAACACGUGAGUGAUCUGCCCCCAACUUGGGUAUAAGCCUGGGAAACUGGGUCUAAUUCCCGAUAGUACUGCAGUGUGGUGCCUGUGGUGGAAAACGAUUUUCUAGUGGUUGGGGAUGAGCUCGCGGCCUAUCAGCUUGUUGGUGGGGUAAUGGCCUACCAAGGCGGCGACGGGUAGCCGGCCUGAGAGGGUGGACGGCCACAUUGGGACUGAGAUACGGCCCAGAGUCCUACGGGAGGCAGCAGUGGGGAAUAUUGCACAAUGGGCGGAAGACUGAUGCAGCGACGCCGCGUGGGGGAUGACGGCCUUCGGGUUGUAAACUCCUUUCGACCGCGAGGAAGCCACCUGGUUGGAAGGGUGGUGACGGUAGUGGUAGAAGAAGCACCGGCUAACUACGUG